This 448-nucleotide ribosomal RNA is filed under the name uncultured bacterium. RNAcentral's name for it is "bacterial SSU rRNA". It matches the Rfam family "Bacterial small subunit ribosomal RNA", at positions 330 to 794 of the family's 1533-position model. The record is from RNAcentral.
UCCAGACUCCUACGGGAGGCAGCAGUGAGGGAUAUUGGUCAAUGGGGGGAAACCCUGAACCAGCAACGCCGCGUGAGGGAAGACGGUUUUCGGAUUGUAAACCUCUGUCCUCUGUGAAGAUAAUGACGGUAGCAGAGGAGGAAGCUCCGGCUAACUACGUGCCAGCAGCCGCGGUAAUACGUAGGGAGCGAGCGUUGUCCGGAUUUACUGGGUGUAAAGGGUGCGUAGGCGGCCCUGCAAGUCAGAAGUGAAAUCCGGGGGCUCAACCCCCGAACUGCAUUUGAAACUGUAGGUCUUGAGUAUCGGAGAGGCAGGCGGAAUUCCUAGUGUAGCGGUGAAAUGCGUAGAUAUACGGAGGAACACCAGUGGCGAAGGCGGAUUGCUGGACAGUAACUGACGCUGAGGCGCGAAAGCGUGGGGAGCAAACAGGAUUAGAUACCCUGGUAAC